Molecule: ribosomal RNA, 253 nt
Filed under: uncultured bacterium
Lineage: Bacteria
Description: partial 16S ribosomal RNA
Rfam family: Bacterial small subunit ribosomal RNA
Source: RNAcentral
UACGUAGGGCGCGAGCGUUAAUCGGAAUUACUGGGCGUAAAGCGUGCGCAGGCGGUUUUGUAAGCCAGAUGUGAAAUCCCCGGGCUUAACCUGGGAAUGGCAUUUGGGACUGCAAGGCUGGAGUGUGGCAGAGGAGACUGGAAUUCCCGGUGUAGCAGUGAAAUGCGUAGAUAUCGGGAGGAAUACCGAUGGCGAAGGCAGGUCUCUGGGCUGACACUGACGCUCAUGCACGAAAGCGUGGGGAGCAAACAGG